RNAcentral lists this ribosomal RNA (449 nucleotides) under uncultured bacterium. RNAcentral describes it as "partial 16S ribosomal RNA". It matches the Rfam family "Bacterial small subunit ribosomal RNA", at positions 28 to 523 of the family's 1533-position model. The record is from RNAcentral.
GACGAACGCUGGCGGCAUGCCUAACACAUGCAAGUCGAACGAGACCUUCGGGUCUAGUGGCGCACGGGUGCGUAACGCGUGGGAAUCUGCCCUUGGGUUCGGAACAACAGUUGGAAACGACUGCUAAUACCGGAUGAUGACUUCGGUCCAAAGAUUUAUCGCCCAGGGAUGAGCCCGCGUAGGAUUAGCUUGUUGGUGAGGUAAAAGCUCACCAAGGCGACGAUCCUUAGCUGGUCUGAGAGGAUGAUCAGCCACACUGGGACUGAGACACGGCCCAGACACCUACGGGUGGCAGCAGCAAGGAAUCUUCGGCAAUGGGCGCAAGCCUGAUCCAGCCAUGCCGCGUGAGUGAUGAAGGCCUUAGGGUUGUAAAGCUCUUUCACCGGAGAAGAUAAUGACGGUAUCCGGAGAAGAAGCCCCGGCUAACUUCGUGCCAGCAGCCGCCGUAA